UACACUCCUACGGGAGGCAGCAGUGGGGAAUAUUGGACAAUGGGCGCAAGCCUGAUCCAGCCAUGCCGCGUGAGUGAUGAAGGCCCUAGGGUUGUAAAGCUCUUUCACCGGUGAAGAUAAUGACGGUAACCGGAGAAGAAGCCCCGGCUAACUUCGUGCCAGCAGCCGCGGUAAUACGAAGGGGGCUAGCGUUGUUCGGAUUUACUGGGCGUAAAGCGCACGUAGGCGGACUAUUAAGUCAGGGGUGAAAUCCCGGGGCUCAACCCCGGAACUGCCUUUGAUACUGGUAGUCUUGAGUUCGAGAGAGGUGAGUGGAAUUCCGAGUGUAGAGGUGAAAUUCGUAGAUAUUCGGAGGAACACCAGUGGCGAAGGCGGCUCACUGGCUCGAUACUGACGCUGAGGUGCGAAAGCGUGGGGAGCAAACAGGAUUAGAAACCCGUGUAGUCCCAUG
This 451-nucleotide ribosomal RNA is filed under the name uncultured organism. RNAcentral's name for it is "partial 16S ribosomal RNA". It matches the Rfam family "Bacterial small subunit ribosomal RNA", at positions 332 to 799 of the family's 1533-position model. The record is from RNAcentral.